RNAcentral lists this transfer RNA (73 nucleotides) under Candidatus Woesearchaeota archaeon. Its description in RNAcentral is "tRNA-Asn". It matches the Rfam family "tRNA". Rfam says of the family: Transfer RNA (tRNA) molecules are approximately 80 nucleotides in length. Their secondary structure includes four short double-helical elements and three loops (D, anti-codon, and T loops). The record is from RNAcentral. Lineage: Archaea; Nanobdellati; Candidatus Woesearchaeota.
GACCCUGUAGCUUAGAGGUUAGAGCGUCUGACUGUUAAUCAGAAGGUCGAGAGGUCGAAUCUCUCCAGGGUCG